This 2400-nucleotide long non-coding RNA is filed under the name Paramuricea clavata. Lineage: Eukaryota; Metazoa; Cnidaria; Anthozoa; Malacalcyonacea; Plexauridae. The record is from RNAcentral.
GCUGUCUCGAUAUCAAAAAUAAAGGUUUAAGUCAAGGUGAUGGAAAAUAUUUGAUAGACCAGGAUGGAGAAAGUCAAGGGAUUCCAUUCGAAGUAUAUUGUGACAUGACGUCAUUUGGUGGAGGUUGGACCAUGUGUUAUACGACUGAUAGUCAUGUUAAUAUCAAAACUGAACUCACCACCACUCUCGCCCAGGGCUAUCGAGCAGAUUGUAACAACAUACCGGUAAGUAUACUUUUUUAUUUUAUUUAUAUAUAUAUAUAUAUAUAUAUAUAUAUAUAUAUAUAUAUAUAUAUAUAUAUAUAUAUAUAUAUAUAUACCUUGUUGCAAGACAUUCAAAACAUUCCAUACGUUUCCGGCAAGGCGCCUGACAGGGGUAAGCAUUGAAGGACGCAGAGCAGCAAAGAGAGGGCAAAAUAAUCAGUUACAUCUUCACUAAGUGCACCACAGGUAAAAGAUGGACAUAGAACACAGUUCAUUGAAAAGAGAUAAUAAUUAAGACCGCACUUGUUUAAUCUUAAUCUUGUAUGUAGGCUAAGGCCGAAAAGUACCGGUCAUCCAAAUAAACCAAUUUAUUGACAGGAGGUAUAUAAAAUCGUUCACGUAAUAAAGCAGUUUUAAAGAGAACAAAUGUUGCAGAUUCAGAAAGAUUAUUCCAUAAAAAAUUGUAGAAUACAAAAAGGAUUUUUUCCUUUCUCGGUGCGAAUGAGAGGUAAACCUAAAUCAUUCCUAGUCCGAAGCCUAUACAGUAUAUCAGUAGCGGAAAUUCACUUUUUCUGCUGGGGGGGGGGGCAAAGCCUCCUAAAUUUCCGACAAAACUUUCAAAUAUCCGACAUCCCCCCCAUUUGCACUCGAAAAGACUGUUUUUACCCUCUUUUAGGUCAAAAUUUUCGAAAAUUCGUUAAUUUUCCGUGAAGGUGGGGGAGGGGGGGGGGCGGCAACCGCCCGCCCCACUAAGAUUUCCGCCACUGGAGUAUGUAGUUCUUUGGCUUACGUGAACAGGACAAAGAUCCAACAAAUAAUUUGGAGCUAAACCUUUAACUGUUUUCUACAAAAAUAACAACUUAUGUAUUUUCCCCCGGUUAUUUAACGUAUGCAGCCGGUAGUAACACUUUCUCUGUGUAUACCUUUCAUUGCUCCGGAAAUUAAUUUUGCUACACCAUACUGAACACUUUCGAGCAGCAGGGGCGUAGGAACACAUUCGAGAUUGGGGGGGGGCGAAUUCCUCGAGGCGCCACCAUGGUUGGCGCCGAGUGGAAAUUUUUUUGAAAAUUAGAGGCUCUAGAUCCUUGGAAAUGGCCAUUUCAGAGCCCUAUUUAGCCAUUUCAGUUUCGAAUUUCACUGCAUUUAUUGUAAAUUGAGUAAAUUCAAUGAUUUUUGGGGGGGCCGAAAGCUAUCUCGGCCCCCCCUUAUAANNNNNNNNNNNNNNNNNNNNCCCCCCCCCCCCGGCCCCCCCGCUUCCUACGCCCCUGUCGAGCAGGUCCGAUUCACCUAUUGUACACUCAUCCCAGACAACAUUAGCGUAUUCCAUCUUGGUGCGAAACGAACCGUUAGCAAUAUUCUGUGCUAUAGCUAACGGUUCGUUUGAUUCUGUAUGCGUGACGUUCGUGUGUUGACGAAGCCUCUCAUGCCUAAACUAUACACGUGUGUUUCCAUGAAUUCUGGAAACAAAUACUGACAGGGAGCAACUGCAUUUAAUUUCAGUUUACUGGAGUGAUAUUUGUCGACGAAGCAACGAAAGAAAAAGCAGCAUUUAACAGGAAUGGUCCAGCUGUAACUUUUUCUGGUAAUUAUGAUAAGGAGGCCGAUGCAUUUGGCUUGUGGACCGCACAGGGUGUUGCGUCAACAGAUUUUGAAUAUCAAAUGUUAAUUUGUGAUACAGAUUUCUACAAGGGCCUCCAUUUUUCUGGGUAUACAGCUGACUGCUACAAACUUUGUGAUAACUGGUGUGAUGACAGAUCUUCUCCAUACUUUCGCUCAUCUGCAGUCUCCAGUGCGAAUUUCCAAGGUGUUGCUUUCAACGAAAAUGGUCAUACACCGACGUCAAAGCGUGUCAUUCGUGUAGGAAUUCGUUAACUACUAAACUGAAACGAGAAAAGAACGCCGCAAAACUUUCGAGUAACAUAACCUCACUUUUGUAAAUACUUAGAACCGAUGACAAUUUAACUAUAUAAAUUAGCACCAAGACUUUAAAAGGUUUCUAUAGACUCCUAGCCCAAAUGUAUCUACUUUAUUUGAUCUACUUUUUAUGUAACAUAAUGGUAUAUCACAUGGGCAAAUCAUUAAAUAAAAAAAUAAUAAAAACUUUAACUUAAAAAUCGCAGCAGAGGUAAAUUGACGUGAACUAAAUUUUAAGUUUAAGUCCAUCCAUUUGUUAAUAACUAGACCUAUUCAAAUUUAG